CCUUGCACCGUACCUUUGUAGGAUAUUUUUUGAAACAAUAUUUAGAUUUUAAAUUUACAGAAUAGUAUUGAAAUUUAAACGACAUAAUGCAGCCGUCAAUGCGAAGAGAGGAACACGCUGUUGAUAUUUAUCACCGUCAAAGCGUCGUUCACUAAAAAAUAGUUUGCAAGAAUAAGUGUGUAUAAUUGAUUCACGCUCGGGCUCAGGUAUUUAGAUCUAGUUCGAUAGAACUUCACUGCGAAUGGAUGGAUAUUCAUGAAUUUUGCCGAAUACAAGGGAAGUGUUAUAGGACCACCUUGUAUGAGUCUUAUUGCUAGGACAAGCAAAUAGGUUUACAAAUCAAGGUGUUCAGAUUUGCUGCUCUUUUCACAUUAGCGAUCUUCUGCGAUACGUUCUGUGAUGCACUUUAUCAUUCAUGAACGGAACUACGUUGGUCUGUGACAGCUGCCGUCGUCGAUAGAAGAACGGGAAGGUCAGUAUCUUUGCUUUGGCAUCUAGUAACGGUAAUCGUAGUACUGAUCGCUGUAAUGAUAUUGAACUUCCGACACACUGCAGAUCGGAGAGGGAUUGCUGUUGGAAUGCGCGCGACUGGAGGCAGGCUAGAUUUACGGACGAACCGCAAUGAGGUUUAGAGCCGCUUUCUGCACAAUUCAGAGAUGAAAGACAAACUUCCAUCCCCCCCACACCACCCCGCAUCCGGUCCGAGUUCCAAGCCUUAAAUUGAAAAAGUUCGGCGAGAGAACUCUACGACGUCACGACAGUGGAAUCGAAGUACACGAAAAGUGUACAAAAUCUACGUGCUUCAGGCCAACUCCCUUUCAACUGUAUUGUAAUCGGUCGUUUUGGACACAGUAGAAGACUAUGUUCCUAGUUCUGGCGAGAGAACGCUGCGCCAGGAAGAACAAGGAGAACGCAAGCCAUACAAGUUGUUGUUUGAAACUGAAUUAUUCUGUUCGCUGGCCCAUCGUACAUUUACCACUCUAGACAAGUGUAAGAUCCGCUCAAAUUUGAUACAUUAAUGGCUACAUUGCGUUCUAAUUUAUCGAAAGUCAACAAUGAAACUUACUGGUAGUAGUCAGACAAGAAAUUUCAUGAUUUGUUGCCGUAUCAAGAUCUAAGGGAGGUGAUGUAUUUCCCUGUGAAAGGUUUCAAGGAUCCGCCCCGAAGGGCAAUUUUUCAUUGCUCGUGGACAGUUCCGUUACGACCUUUAAAACGAACAACUGGUUCGGAGCAGAAUACGUUUUUAGGCUUUAUUUUAAAUGUGGCUGUGUUAUACAAAUAAGGAUAAACGCAAAUUAUCAAAAAUACUUACAAAAUUU
Molecule: long non-coding RNA, 1319 nt
Organism: Varroa destructor (honeybee mite)
Lineage: Eukaryota; Metazoa; Arthropoda; Arachnida; Mesostigmata; Varroidae
Source: RefSeq, a predicted model, not a curated record